Molecule: ribosomal RNA, 473 nt
Filed under: uncultured organism
Description: partial 16S ribosomal RNA
Rfam family: Bacterial small subunit ribosomal RNA
Source: RNAcentral
ACACUCCUGCGGGAGGCAGCAGUGGGGAAUUUUGGACAAUGGGCGAAAGCCUGAUCCAGCAAUGCCGCGUGAGUGAAGAAGGCCUUCGGGUUGUAAAGCUCUUUUGUCAGGGAAGAAACGGUGAGAGCUAAUAUCUUUUGCUAAUGACGGUACCUGAAGAAUAAGCACCGGCUAACUACGUGCCAGCAGCCGCGGUAAUACGUAGGGUGCAAGCGUUAAUCGGAAUUACUGGGCGUAAAGCGUGCGCAGGCGGUUUUGUAAGUCUGAUGUGAAAUCCCCGGGCUCAACCUGGGAAUUGCAUUGGAGACUGCAAGGCUAGAAUCUGGCAGAGGGGGGUAGAAUUCCACGUGUAGCAGUGAAAUGCGUAGAUAUGUGGAGGAACACCGAUGGCGAAGGCAGCCCCCUGGGUCAAGAUUGACGCUCAUGCACGAAAGCGUGGGGAGCAAACAGGAUUAGAUACCCCAGUAGUCCCA